Molecule: ribosomal RNA, 164 nt
Filed under: uncultured bacterium
Lineage: Bacteria
Description: partial 16S ribosomal RNA
Rfam family: Bacterial small subunit ribosomal RNA
Source: RNAcentral
UAGGGAAUCUUCCACAAUGGGCGCAAGCCUGAUGGAGCAACGCCGCGUGAGUGAAGAAGGGUUUCGGCUCGUAAAGCUCUGUUGUUAAAGAAGAACGUGGGUAAGAGUAACUGUUCAUACGUUGACGGUAUUUAACCAGAAAGUCACGGCUAACUACGUGCCAG